GCGUUAUCAACCUCGCAAACCAGGCACUCUACUUCCGCUUCCCUCUCUGCUGCAGCGUGUUUGCACGCUCUCUGCUGCAGCGUGUUUGCACGCUCUCUGCUGCAGCGUGUUUGGGCGGGAAGCGGAAGUAGAGAGCCUGGCUUGCGAGGUUGUCGCGCUAU
Molecule: microRNA precursor, 161 nt
Filed under: Paramuricea clavata
Lineage: Eukaryota; Metazoa; Cnidaria; Anthozoa; Malacalcyonacea; Plexauridae
Source: RNAcentral